GACGAACGCUGGCGGCGUGCUUAACACAUGCAAGUCGAACGGAAAGGCCCUGCUUUUGUGGGGUGCUCGAGUGGCGAACGGGUGAGUAACACGUGAGCAACCUGCCCUUGACUUUGGGAUAACUUCAGGAAACUGGGGCUAAUACCGGAUAGGAGCUCCUGCUGCAUGGUGGGGGUUGGAAAGUCUCGGCGGUUGGGGAUGGACUCGCGGCUUAUCAGCUUGUUGGUGGGGUAGUGGCUGACCAAGGGUUUGACGGGUAGGCGGCCUGAGAGGGUGACCGGCGACAUUGGGACUGAGGGAGGGCCCAGAGUGGUACGGGGGGCAGCGGGGGGGAGUAUUGCACAGUGGGCGGGAGCCUGAGGCGGAGACGCCGGGGGCGGGAUGACGGCCUUCGGGGUGUAAACCGCUUUCGCCUGUGACGAAGCGGGAGUGACGGUAAUGGGUGAAGAAGCACCGGCUAACUACGUG
This 468-nucleotide ribosomal RNA is filed under the name uncultured bacterium. RNAcentral's name for it is "partial 16S ribosomal RNA". It matches the Rfam family "Bacterial small subunit ribosomal RNA", at positions 28 to 507 of the family's 1533-position model. The record is from RNAcentral.